RNAcentral lists this non-coding RNA (106 nucleotides) under Moorella sp. (in: firmicutes). RNAcentral's name for it is "Moorella sp. c-di-GMP sequence". It matches the Rfam family "c-di-GMP-I riboswitch aptamer". Rfam says of the family: GEMM was predicted in a large-scale screen for bacterial structured RNA regulatory elements. Genes associated with GEMM are involved in a diverse array of functions, including chemotaxis regulation, signal transduction, secretion and chitin. Lineage: Bacteria; Bacillati; Bacillota; Clostridia; Neomoorellales; Neomoorellaceae. The record is from RNAcentral.
UUAUGUCAAGGGCAAGCUCUCCGAAAGGGGAAGCGCGCAAAGCCAUGGGUCUACGGCCCCUGGGCGUUGGUGCUCCCGGUGGGGCUAAGAUCGCCAGGCUGCCGUU